RNAcentral lists this ribosomal RNA (253 nucleotides) under uncultured bacterium. RNAcentral describes it as "partial 16S ribosomal RNA". It matches the Rfam family "Bacterial small subunit ribosomal RNA", at positions 524 to 776 of the family's 1533-position model. The record is from RNAcentral.
UACGAAGGGGGCUAGCGUUGUUCGGAAUUACUGGGCGUAAAGCGCACGUAGGCGGACUUUCAAGUCAGGGGUGAAAUCCCGGGGCUCAACCUCGGAACUGCCUUUGAUACUGUUAGUCUUGAGCUCGGAAGAGGUGGGUGGAAGUCCUAGUGUAGAGGUGAAAUUCAUAGAUAUUAGGAAGAACACCAGUGGCGAAGGCGGCCCACUGGUCCGAUGCUGACGCUGAGGUGCGAAAGCGUGGGGAGCAAACAGG